Nycticebus coucang (slow loris) is the source of this 803-nucleotide long non-coding RNA. RefSeq lists it as uncharacterized. The record is from RefSeq and is a predicted model, not a curated record. The transcript has 5 exons. Lineage: Eukaryota; Metazoa; Chordata; Mammalia; Primates; Lorisidae.
ACCCACGGACCUGACCAUCUGACACUUGGCCUUCGUUCAUGUGUGAAGUUCUUCACCGCACUAUUAUUGGGGUCUCCAGAACUCUUUGGGUCAUUGAACUUUCAAUGACAUUUUUCUACUUGAGCAGAGGGAUCAAGGAUCUCUCCAUAUGCACCACCAGCCUCCUGAUUAUGCUCCAGGCCAUCACUGUCAGCCCCAGCACCUCCUGGUUGGCCAGAUUUAAACGCGUGUCUCCUCUGUAGGAAUCAUGCUGCUCUCAAGUGCUUAGGUGGUGCUCCUCCUGCUCAGGGAGCAGAGACGAUCCCAGCACCUUCACAGCACCAGACUCUCUUCUAACGCCUCCCCGGAGAAGAUGGCCACCCAGACCAUCCUGCUGCUACCGCUACUGCUCUGGCUGCUCUGGCUGGUUGCCAUUCUGGCGCUUUGUGGACGGGGCGGGGAGGCUGAUGCUGACCAUGGGCUGCCAGCAUGCGGAGGGCUCGCUGCCCCAUGGUCCACCUGACCGUGGACUGCGCUGAGGAUUGGUACCACAGACAGGAUCUAUCCUCCAGAACCAGCUUUUGCCUGGUUCUUCCUGGGAACGUGCUACUUUGAUGAAGUAACGAUUCAGAGAGAGAUUGUAGCGAAUUGAAUUCUGGCAGCCCUUGUCCGCAGUCCUGUACUGGGGGAAUAAGGUGGCUUUGAGCCACCCUUUGGGCUUUCUCCUCCGGAAGCUGCCUUCUCAUGUUCUGGCUGCGAGUUUUCGGCCAUUAAAUUGAGGUCAGGUGGCAUCACUCGGCCCACUUUGUACCCUGAACACCCUG